This 292-nucleotide ribosomal RNA is filed under the name Escherichia coli. RNAcentral's name for it is "partial 16S ribosomal RNA". It matches the Rfam family "Bacterial small subunit ribosomal RNA", at positions 505 to 796 of the family's 1533-position model. Lineage: Bacteria; Pseudomonadati; Pseudomonadota; Gammaproteobacteria; Enterobacterales; Enterobacteriaceae. The record is from RNAcentral.
GUGCCAGCCGCCGCGGUAAUACAGAGGGUGCAAGCGUUAAUCGGAAUUACUGGGCGUAAAGCGCGCGUAGGUGGUUAGUUAAGUUGGAUGUGAAAUCCCCGGGCUCAACCUGGGAACUGCAUUCAAAACUGACGGGCUAGAGUAUGGUAGAGGGUGGUGGAAUUUCCUGUGUAGCGGUGAAAUGCGUAGAUAUAGGAAGGAACACCAGUGGCGAAGGCGACCACCUGGACUGAUACUGACACUGAGGUGCGAAAGCGUGGGGAGCAAACAGGAUUAGAUACCCCGGUAGUCC